RNAcentral lists this long non-coding RNA (456 nucleotides) under Mustela putorius furo (domestic ferret). RNAcentral's name for it is "lncRNA (ENSMPUG00000026227.1)". The record is from RNAcentral. Lineage: Eukaryota; Metazoa; Chordata; Mammalia; Carnivora; Mustelidae.
AUGCAAACCAGGAGCACUGUCUCAGAAGAACAGAGGAGGAGAAUAGAGACAAAACAAGUGUUCUUCCCAAACGCAGAGUCUGAAAUGAGGACACACAUGCGACCAGUUCUUCUGGAAGUUAUUGCAGAAAGCGCCGUGAGGAAAUGGGGAUGUAAGGCGGAGAAAGAAAAUUUAUUUGUGCGAGUAAGACAGAGCCCAAGGGAAGAGCAGAGGGAGAACACAGACUCUGCACGCUGCUCUGGGUAUGGAGCCUGAUGCAUGGCUUGAUCUCAGGACUCUGAGAUCAUGACCUCAGUGGAAACGAAGAGUUCUGCACUCAGCUGAGUGCCCUGCUAAGCUCUUUUCAUGAGGAAGUCUGUAAGUCCAGCUCACACUCAAGGGAAAGGGGCUGAACUAGAGGGUGUGGAUCAGCCACAUAAUAUAUAUAAAUAAUAUAUUUUAAUAUACUAUUUAUAU